This 516-nucleotide unclassified non-coding RNA is filed under the name Hevea brasiliensis (rubber tree). The record is from RNAcentral. Lineage: Eukaryota; Viridiplantae; Streptophyta; Magnoliopsida; Malpighiales; Euphorbiaceae.
GAGUUUUGCUCCUUGAGACAUUGAGAGGCUGGGGUGUCAUUCCCUACACUAUAUCUCCAUUGUCUGAAAUGGAUUCUGCACCAUGUGAUCAUAGAUCUGAACAGCACUCAUCUUUCCUUUUGGAUAUCUACUCAACUGAGAUGAAUGAAGCAAACAUGGAUGAUAAUGCUGUUGUGAACAAGAAGUCUCAUCUCAAAGUUGUGGAAGUAGUAAGAUUCUUAAAGGACCUAGAAGCCCUCAUUUCUAAGCUAAAUCCAACUAUUGAACGAUGCUUUAGGAUUCACCAUAAAUUAGCAGAGAGUCUAGCCCUUGUUUGUGCAGAAAGUUUCGUGUACUCAAGAUGCUUAAGUUUGGUUGCUGAGAAAGUUCCAGUUUCUGAAGGCAGUGAAGAGGGAAUUCUGCUCAAGAUGGAAAGUAUUUCAGAUUUCACUGAUUUUUGGAAAAUCAGUCUUGAAGGACUUGCAGAAAUGAUUCUAUUGCUUCAGAAGAACCACUUGUGGGAGCUUGCUUCUGUGA